CCCACGUCCCCUCUGAUAAGUUUUUUUUGUUGUUGUUGUUUACGGGAGCCUGCCACCAGGGGGCUAAUCAAGGUGUUUCGGCUUCUGAAAGAUUGCGUUCUCGUGUGCGUCAGAGCCAAUCCGACAAGUUCGGAGCGUGACAAACGUCCUGCUUCAAAGAAUCUGAUUGGUCAGUCUUGAGCAGCCCGCAUUCAUUUGAAUGAACGUAGCCACGGGUUAGCUGCUAAUCUUUACAUGAGACGUACAAAUUUAGCUUACUUUUGCAAGCACGGUGAGCUGUAUGUUGGAAAGAAAUUUGAAGCAACAUCAGGCUACUGUCUUCGGCCAUGCUAAUAAAUCCCAUAACUCCACCCAACCAGGAGCGUUUGCUCGCUAUGAUUGGACGAACAAUGUUUCACGCUUAUCAAAUAUUCACGACUUACCUUAAGCACCGUGGGCAAGCGGGGACAGUAAUGGCAUCAGUGAUUCAGACAGAGAAACCAAUUGUGCACCUAGAAAAGAAAAAGAGAUAAUGAGUUGUCGAGAGGCUCCCCAUCUGGAUGGAAGACAGUCCUCUGUGUGCCUGAUUAAUGGUGUGGAGAGACAGUUGCCAGUUCUGAAGCCUUGCUGUCUGGCCCAGGUCAGAACUUCCAGAAGCCAAUGAAUUGAGCUAGAACUAAAUCAAUGGAAAGCUGCGAAAAUGUGAAAGCAAGAUGAAGAGAAAACCAGUGUCUAGGCCUUGAGGGCCAAGAUGCACAACAUCACACCAGACUCUUAUCUGUGGACGAGUCUUUCCCCUGAGAGGAUUCUGCACUCCACCGAACAGCAGGAUUCAAAGGUAUAUCAGGUGCAUGACCUUAGGGUUAGUGAAAUUUACAGCCAAGCAGUAUUAGCUGUAAAAGUCGAACACAGAACUCGACACCAUGUGGUCAGCAUAGAAUUAGACACACACAUGGACGCACACAUCCAACUUUCCAUUCUUUCUAUUACAUGCUCACUCAUACAAUAGUCAUAUGCCCUCAUAAAUACAAUGUUUUGCUUUCUGUGGCUGGUAGAUAGAUAGAUAGAAGGAUAGAUAGAUAGAUAGUAGGGAUGGUCGAUAUGUUAUCGUUUACGAUAUGUCGUCAAAACAUUCCCCACGGUAAGAAUAUGUCAUCCCUCGAUAAAAACGAUAAAUUCCCAUUGAUGACGUAUGUAAGUGUGCGACACACUUGCAGCCCAACACGUGUGGAAUAUUGACAACAAUGGCGGAAGGCGGAGCAGAUACGCCGGGCAGUGGGGAGCUCAUUCCUAAACGGGGCUCCAGCUCCGUUAUCUGGAACUGCAUUGGUUUUAAAAAGUCUGACGCGGAGUAGCAAUUUACUGCAUGCAAGGUUUACAAACAAAUAGUGCAUACAAAGGACAGUAACACGACUAAUUUGUUCCACCACCUCAAACACAAGCACAAACGGGAAUACGACGAUAGCCAGAAAAUGCGCAAGGAUGCAGAAGCAACGUCAACUUCAUCCAAAGAAACCAUCAACUCAACUUGCCGAUGCAUUUGCUCAUUCCACACUGUAUGAUGAUCAGAGCAAAUGGUGGAAAGAAUUAACGGAGGUAGUUGUUAUUUUUGCUGUUUGCACUGUUUCUUGCACUGUUUUUUUUAAACUGCCUGUGUGCCAAAACGUUUUGAUACAUUUUUAAUAAAUAAUAGAUUCUGUUCUCACAUCUCGGACGCGUUUGCUUGGUGUCACUCACUACAUUUUUGCAGUACAGGUGUACUACUUGAACUUAAUUGAUGUAGUUUAGUAGCCUUUAUUAUUAUUUUGGUGAUAGAUUUAUAGUCAAAAAGAUUAGGCUGAACUGGUGUUUAUUUAUCGUCAUUUUUAUUGUUACUGUGAUUAAUACCAGAAAUUAUUGGAAUAAAUUUUUUAGACCAUAUUGCCCAAUCCUAAUAGAUAGAUGGAUAGAUAGGUAGGUAGACUGAUAGAUAGAUAGAUUUAUCAUCUAAAAUUAUCUAUGUACAUGUUGUUUUAUCCUACACUAACUGCCUAGGAAGAGUACAUUUUAAAUUUAAUUCGAUUUAAUACUGAUUGACUUUGCAUUAUGCCAAACCACAAUGCAUAAUAUGUUGUAUCUUUGAAAAAAAUAGAUCCAUUAUCAUUCCAUUUUCCUCUCAUUAACCUUUGGUUCAUUGCUUAAUGUGUCACAGGCCAAAGGCCAUUGUAAUCUCUCUCAAUGGACACACUGUUCUUGAUCAAUAUGCUACUUGCUCAGCAACUCACAUUGUUUUAUUUUCCUGCUUGUGUUCCAGUUUAAGGUGUGAAAGGAUCAUUCCAGGUCUCAAAGGAGAAGCUUCUUUCAAUAUCCUCAAAGUGGCGGAUCCCACCCACUCAAUUGUUCUCCACAUAAUCAUAUAAAAAGAUUCAGGAAGAGUUGUUUUUUAUUGUUGUUGUGUUUUUCCUCUGCUGAACAAUGCCCUUCCGCCACAGGGUCCCAUAACAGCCUACCAGUCUGUGCUCAGCGCACCUCCACCCCUCAUCCCACCCUUGCUAUCUCGUCUUCCUCAUCUGGCCCAGGCCCACUUCCACAUCUACAUCCCAUUGUCUAAGUGAAGGCAGCACGCGCAGGGCUGGGGCCAGUCCAAACAUACUCAUCUCUUUCUCUGGAUGACUGCCAGUAUUCUUUGAAGAAUGUAAACUUCGUUACUUUCCAAAUCCAUUUAACAGUUUUGUUUUAGCAGUGAAUAAAGAUUACUCUCUCUACCUGUUAAAAAAAAGAGUUGGUGCUUAUUCACAUACUGUUUUGUAUGUUUGUAUGUGUCAUGUUUUAUGUUGGGAUUCCUGCAUGUACAUGUGUCGGAGAAACCAAAUCCCAGUCCAUCAUGAAUUCCCCAAGGUGGGCCAGCCAGUGUGUGUGUUUGUCACUGUCCCCUGUCAGGAAAGAGGGUUGGAGCGUGUUCUCCGGACAAACUCCCCUUGGCUUAGGAAGUGCUCCUCUAUAUUGGCCUCUUUGUGGCUCGCUAAUCGAGCUUUCCUGUCAGCAGGCUGCAUGGUCCCAGUGCACGGUGCACUACGUGAUACAGACCCACUCCGGUGCUCCAAGGGAAGUUCUGGGAUCAGCAGAUAACAGCACAGCUCCCUCAUCUAACACGCAGAAUAGCGCUGCCUCUCUCUGUCCCUCUGCCCAUGCAUGAAUAAGGAAAACACCGAUUUUAACCAUUUAAAAAAUUCCAUUAUUCAGACCUCCUUGGCUGCCGAACAAUCUAUUUUGGAAAACCCCAUAAUUUCCUUUAAACCUUUAAAGUGUGCGUAUGACAACACUAUUUUCUAAAAUAUAGAUGAGUACCUCUAAUUGAACAUCUUUUGUUAAUGUUGAAUACAUCUUGUCAGAAAAUACCAUCCAUUGAACAUGUACAUUGCUCUACCUUUUAUAUUACACUGUCUGUUCUUGGUUGCCAGAUUAAUGAUUAAAACAGACUAUUAUCCCUCCCACCUGAAUUUUGUACUCCACAGUGGGUCAUCGUGCAAACUGUAGCCCUCUUUUCAAAUGUAAGCGGAUUUUAGUGCUCUGUUAGAAGAGUGGUCACGAAGGACCCAUGUCCUGGUAUUCAAAACCAAUUAUAAAAUAAUAAUCUGUAAGUGUCACUUCUAUUUAAAUUUUCUGGCUAUUCAAGCAUUCACAGAUAUGUCAGGGGGAUUUGUCAAGGACAUUGUAGGAUGAAGCAGAUAUCGUAAUGGUGACAUUACUGAAUUUCAGAUUUUCUCACACGUCCUUGGCAGUCUACUUUUAUUUAGAUAGUACAUUGCUCACAUGUCCCCCAUUUUAGGCUAAGACAGCUGAUGUAACUAAUGCUACAGUAAUAAUUCUAAAAUACUGACUAACUGUUACAUAGGAUAGAAAAUGCACAAGUGAAUGAAUGAGCAUCCCACCUUUGGGAGUAAUGUCUGUGCAACACCACUGACAUAUAAAGAUGGACAACGCAUCUCCAUUCUCUCCUACUAUACCAAAAAAUUUUGAAGCCAAAAUAUCCCACAUGUGAGCACUGCGACCUUGCACUGAUGACAUCGUUCAGAGCCCAAAACAGCGCGGUAGUGAUUGAGUGAUGGAGCCGCAGGAUUGUAUUCCCGCCCAUGUACCCAUCUGAACCAAUUGCAAGUAGCACUCAGCUGUCAAUCAUGACAUUUCAUUCCCUUUUAAUAACUAAUUAAAACCAGUAAAAUCAUCAGUAAAAUGAGCACUUGCACUAAAAACUACCUAAAAUGGGGUUGGAGUCUAUCCCACCACCGCACCUCCCUCCGACGUGAUCGGAGGGUCACCGGUUCGAUUCCCCCACCGGACGGGCA
Long non-coding RNA from Scatophagus argus, 4304 nucleotides. RefSeq lists it as uncharacterized. The record is from RefSeq and is a predicted model, not a curated record. The transcript is spliced from 4 exons. Lineage: Eukaryota; Metazoa; Chordata; Actinopteri; Scatophagidae.